Hylaeus volcanicus is the source of this 1074-nucleotide RNA transcript. RefSeq lists it as uncharacterized. The transcript has 3 exons. The record is from RefSeq and is a predicted model, not a curated record. NCBI's taxonomy places the organism in Eukaryota, Metazoa, Arthropoda, Insecta, Hymenoptera, Colletidae.
AAUUUUUUUCAGUUAUUGUUCACGUAGAAUUCGUCAUGUAGAAGAUGAAAUUCAAAUUCACCAACUCAAACUAAUAAAUACUUUUAGUACUAUAAAAAAGUACUUAAUCGACAUUCUAUUUUAUGGCCACUUUGCAAAGAAAUCGUUGAAUUUUAUUUUCUUUACAAGAUCCCGGAAACAUUAAAAGAUAAAAAAUUAGCAAGGUCUACGAGUUGAACCCCUUGAGUUACGAGUUAAGGCUUACAGCAGAAAUUUGGACAAACAAAUGUAUAAUGUACUACAUUAUGAGAUAUUUUUCGUUAUAUCAAUUGUGUGCUUUAAGACGAAUCAAUAAAACAGCAUGCGAGGUCUGUGAUAUUUUCUUAGUUCAAAAAUGUGAUAAGUUGACUAAAUUAUCUUCCUACAACACUUUGCUCAACAUAAACACAGAAGAAAAAUAUCAAUGUCGUGAUCUACCUUUAGUUGAAAUUUCAAAAUAUCAUACUCCAUCAGGCCCAUCUUAUUCCUUACUUCAGUCAUCAUUGAAUGACAAAUUGUCUAGCGAGUUAAAACCCUUGCAAAAACAUUUUUGUGCGUUAUGGUGUUUACCAAACAAGACAUUCUUUUAUGGUACAAAUUUCUGCAUAAAAUCGGUAAAUAAGGAUGAAUCAUAUUAUGUUUUAUUUCGAAUCAUUUCGAUUGUAUUGGGUAACGAAUAUAGACGAAUUUCAUUUUGUAAAUUCUUGAAUGUGUUUUCACGUCGAUGUUGUGAAAAUUCUCUCUGGAUUAGGCUCGCACGUGUUUGCGGCUUUAUACUUUCAGGACCGAAAAAUCAUCCUAUUUUCGUACCGGUGACCAUUCCAGAGAUAGAGAUAGAAACACAAAAAGUUGCGUUAAGAAAUUUAAAUUAUCUAUCAUUUUCUUUCUAUACCAAAAUCUUUAGUACCAAAUCAUUACAUCCACAUACUGAAGUGUUGAAACAUUUAUAUUUUUUAUGUAAUGCUUUUUUUUUUGUUUAUCCUUUGCACCGCCAUUCUUUAAGGCUUUAAAAAUUUUAUUCAAAUUUUAAAAAAUAGUUAAACAUAUAUUUAAAAC